This 482-nucleotide ribosomal RNA is filed under the name uncultured bacterium. RNAcentral describes it as "bacterial SSU rRNA". It matches the Rfam family "Bacterial small subunit ribosomal RNA", at positions 30 to 507 of the family's 1533-position model. The record is from RNAcentral.
AUUGAACGCUGGCGGAAUGCUUUACACAUGCAAGUCGAACGGCAGCACGGGGCAACCUGGUGGCGAGUGGCGAACGGGUGAGUAAUACAUCGGAACGUGCCCAAUCGUGGGGGAUAACGUAGCGAAAGUUACGCUAAUACCGCAUACGAUCUACGGAUGAAAGCGGGGGAUCGCAAGACCUCGCGCGGACGGAGCGGCCGAUGGCAGAUUAGGUAGUUGGUGGGAUAAAAGCUUACCAAGCCGACGAUCUGUAGCUGGUCUGAGAGGACGACCAGCCACACUGGGACUGAGACACGGCCCAGACUCCUACGGGAGGCAGCAGUGGGGAAUUUUGGACAAUGGGGGAAACCCUGAUCCAGCCAUGCCGCGUGCAGGAUGAAGGCCUUCGGGUUGUAAACUGCUUUUGUACGGAACGAAAAGACUCUUUCUAAUACAGAGGGUCCAUGACGGUACCGUAAGAAUAAGCACCGGCUAACUACGUG